This 498-nucleotide ribosomal RNA is filed under the name uncultured bacterium. RNAcentral describes it as "partial 16S ribosomal RNA". It matches the Rfam family "Bacterial small subunit ribosomal RNA", at positions 28 to 507 of the family's 1533-position model. The record is from RNAcentral.
GACGAACGCUGGCGGCGUGCCUAAUACAUGCAAGUCGAACGAGAGCGACCGAUGCUUGCACUGGUCAAUCUAGUGGCGAACGGGUGAGUAACACGUGGGUAACCUGCCCAUCAGAGGGGGAUAACAUCCGGAAACGGAUGCUAAAACCGCAUAGGUCUUCGAACCGCAUGGUUUGAAGAGGAAAAGAGGCGCAAGCUUCUGCUGAUGGAUGGACCCGCGGUGCAUUAGCUAGUUGGUGAGGUAACGGCUCACCAAGGCCGUGAUGCAUAGCCGACCUGAGAGGGUGAUCGGCCACAUUGGGACUGAGACACGGCCCAAACUCCUACGGGAGGCAGCAGUAGGGAAUCUUCCGCAAUGGACGCAAGUCUGACGGAGCAACGCCGCGUGAGUGAAGAAGGUUUUCGGAUCGUAAAACUCUGUUGUUAGAGAAGAACAAGUGCUAGAGUAACUGUUAGCGCCUUGACGGUAUCUAACCAGAAAGCCACGGCUAACUACGUG